GGGGGCCGGAGGCCGGACCCGGAACACCAGCGUCCCGGAGCGCUUCCAGUAAAGGAACCAGGACGUUGUCGGAAGAGCCCAAGACUUCCCUGGGAAUGAAAAAUUAGUUCCUACAUCUGAGGGGAGAUAAAUGACAAGGAGCAAGCCAUGUAUCAUGGUGUAAUCCUGUUCUAGCCAGUUACUCAGCAAAAGGGAAGGGUGUCUGCAAGACAGGGCAAGAGACAGAAGCAGCAAAAAUACCUGGAAAGCAAACCAUCAGCAGAACCUAAGUGUCAGACACUGGUCAAAUAAACACUGGCACUGUGCACUAGACAGUCCAGAGAAAGCACUUCUUGGGCCAAUGACUGUGGCUGAAAGGAGUGGAAAACUAUGACUGAAAAACCUGUUUCCCCUACUGUGUCAAUCAUUUUCUAGUCACAAAAACAGAGCUUGGUACAUUGCAUAAGUACA
Pezoporus occidentalis (night parrot) is the source of this 450-nucleotide long non-coding RNA. RefSeq lists it as uncharacterized. The transcript has 3 exons. NCBI's taxonomy places the organism in Eukaryota, Metazoa, Chordata, Aves, Psittaciformes, Psittacidae. The record is from RefSeq and is a predicted model, not a curated record.